RNAcentral lists this ribosomal RNA (492 nucleotides) under uncultured bacterium. RNAcentral describes it as "partial 16S ribosomal RNA". It matches the Rfam family "Bacterial small subunit ribosomal RNA", at positions 29 to 507 of the family's 1533-position model. The record is from RNAcentral.
AGUGAACGCUGGCGGUAGGCCUAACACAUGCAAGUCGAACGGCAGCACAGUAAGAGCUUGCUCUUACGGGUGGCGAGUGGCGGACGGGUGAGCAAUACAUCGGAAUCUACUUUUUCGUGGGGGAUAACGUAGGGAAACUUACGCUAAUACCGCAUACGACCUACGGGUGAAAGCAGGGGAUCUUCGGACCUUUCGCGAUUGAGUGAGCCGAUGUCGGAUUAGCUAGUUGGCGGGGUAAAGGCCCACCAAGGCGACGAUCCGUAGCUGGUCUGAGAGGAUGAUCAGCCACACUGGAACUGAGACACGGUCCAGACCCCUACGGGAGGCAGCAGUGGGGAAUAUUGGACAAUGGGCGCAAGCCUGAUCCAGCCAUACCGCGUGGGUGAAGAAGGCCUUCGGGUUGUAAAGCCCUUUUGUUGGGAAAGAAAAGCAGCAGGUUAAUACCCCGCUGUUCUGACGGUACCCAAAGAAUAAGCACCGGCUAACUUCGUG